Molecule: non-coding RNA, 443 nt
Organism: Coffea arabica (coffee)
Lineage: Eukaryota; Viridiplantae; Streptophyta; Magnoliopsida; Gentianales; Rubiaceae
Source: RefSeq, a predicted model, not a curated record
UGGAAAAGUCUGAGUACAUGUGAAUAAACACAGUGUAGGAGCUCUUGCAAAUACUGUCAACUUUUGGGAACACACAUUAUUCAUCAACUUCUCAAUUUGGACAUAUCAUGGACAGUUGUUCUGAAAUUGGAUAUUAAUUGCGAGAGGAAACUAGUACUGCAUGUGGACAUUAGCUCUCGGCAUCAGUUGAACAGAAGACAAUGGGCAUUUUUUCUGCACAAUUGCCUAAAUGUUUUUCGUAUAUUUCAUAGCACAAUGCUCUCUAUUUGGGAGGCAAUGUGAUAAAUAGGUAUCAACAGACAACCAGCUACUGCAUUGUGGAAAGGCUUCUACAUUGCAUAGAUCAGCUAAUGCUUUUAACCAUUGACUGGAACAUAUAUUGCCCUGUAAUGUUUGUUUACCUCCAAAGCCAACAGUUAAACAUCCUUGCGUGCUUCACCUAA